GGCGGCGGGGCACAUGCUGCCCCCGCCCCUGCGCGCCUGCGGCUCCCGGCUCUCCCUCCCCUGCGCCGCGCUCUCGCCUCGCUUUCCGCGGGAGCCUUCCAACCGGUUCUCGGCUAGGGAGAAGGACGGGAGCGGUGGGAAGAGCGAGGGUGUAGAGAGGGAAGUUAGGGCUUUCGCUUUCUCCCCCCACUCCAGCGGCGGCGUUCGGUCCUCUGGGUGGAAUGUGCUCGCAGCAGCAGUGACGGCGGCCACAGCACGGGAGGCACCCGAGCCAUACACCCUGCAGCUGGAGAGAAAAGGAUGGCCGAGGUGGGAGAGACUAGAGUGAACCAGCAGGAGGAAGUCCCAGGGCCGCGAAGCUACGACGGAGAUCCGUCCUGGAAAAGCCUUCUCCACCCUGGGCACUUUAAGCGGCGGUGGCGGCAAACGGCAGGAGGUUGCAGACCCGACAGCGAGACUCCCUCAUUCCAGUCUUGCUCUGCCCUCCGGAGAUGACAAGUGAGAAAGAAGUGUCCGGCCGGGCCAUCCCCUUCAGAGAAGCAACCACUUCACAAGAAGAUUCUGAAGUUGGCCAUUUUUGAUCCCAGAACAGUUUCUCAUAGAUUAGAAAUAUUGGAGUCUACACAAAAAUCGAUAUUCAUUUACAAGAUCAUCACUAAACUUAUCUUGCAUAACUUACCAAGAAUAACUGUAAAAUGUGCUGGGAAUGCAAUGUCCUGAGAUAAGGAAGAACUGCCUGAAACAGCCUGGAUCUUAUUCCUGUACUUCCUAGGGAAUGUAACAUCUCAAGUUAAAGAGGAACUGCCCGGAACAGCCCGGGGAUUGUUCCUCUCUCCUGAGAAGGAAGAUUACCUCCAAAGCUCAUCCACUGAGUCACACUGCCCCUGUGGUGGAGGGCGGGCUGCCUUUCCAGGUUCCUCAGCUGUGGUGUAACUGAAGCAGGCACAAUCAAGACUCCAUCUGCUCGAGGCAGCUUUCUCGAACCUUGGGGAACCUACUCACAAUGGAUCACAGGCUUCUUUUGUUUUGUUUCUUGCUGCCUAUCUGUAAGUAAUUAACUUGCUUCAUGUAACGUGUUGCAUAUGAGUGUGUUCUGUCUCAUAGACUCAGGGAAUUGGUAACACUGCAGCUGAGGACGCAGUGGACAGAAGUGUUCAGACUCCUGUUCCUUGUGGUUGACACAGUGAUGAUGAUCUCUUCUGUCCUCCACAGAGUGGAAGUCCUCUCUUGGGAUUGGUUAUUGGUGAAACCACUUCGCAAUUUAUUAAGAUGGCAAAAGCUUACGGAGGGACAGAUUUGAGGGGAAGAUCAAGAUUUUUCUGUCAGUAUUGCAAAUAGUCAAGAAUAUGUGGUCCAAGAAGUGAUCAUUAUCUUUGGCAUUGUGCAAGUCAUUAGUGACCUUCACAUGAACAGUCUCAGUGGAGUGUUGGAGGAAAAAGCCUAACUGAAGAAGGUUCAAGAGUGAAUGGAAAAAGAGCAGUAGUAUGUGGAGAGUACAGACAAGUAUUUCCAGGAGCCUUUCUGUAAAGAGUGGUAGAGAAUGGGACAUCAUUUUUGGAUGGGGGAAGAGUUAUUUAUAGCAUGUUCAUAUGCUAAUGGAAGUGAUCUACUCAUGGGGAAAAUCUUGAUGAUGCAAGAAAGAAAGGGAUUUGUUGGAAUCUUGUCCUAUAACGGGUGAGAGGGGAUGGGUUCUAGAAGAAAAGGCAUGGGUCUUUGUUUGAGAUCAGGCAAUUCAUCUGUAGGAACCAGUAGGAAGAUGGUUAAGUGGGUACCUGUGGUAGUGGAUGUUUGUGAACAUUCUUUUCUUUUCCAUUGUUUCUAUUUUCUCAAUAAAGUGGGAAGCAAAAAUCAGCUGAGUGAAGAUGAGGAAGAAGGUGUUAAAGGUUUGAAGAAAAAAGGAAAAGGAUAUACUAAUCUAAGAGGACAAGUAAGUAGAACAUAGAUAAUGAAAAUGCUGGCCCUUAGGACUGUUGGGCCUAAAUGCUCAUAUUAUAUUGGUAGUCACAAAUUUGAACUUUCUCUAGAGCCAAUUUUUGCAUGUGUGUGCAGGCCUGGAGUAGUUGGAGAGUUGGAUUUAAUAGAAUUGAGGGUCAAGCAACUACAACCAGGGAAGAGUGGGACAAGGGAGAUAAAGGAUAUUGGCAGGGGAGCAAUUAUAAACAUGGACCAUGAUCAAAACUGGACAGGAAGGAAAAUAGAGAUAAGAGGGGUGGAAGGUUAAAAAUAGUGAAAAUGAGAUAGAAUGAAUAGGUUGUAGGUCCCUGUAAAGUUGAAGAAGUAUUAUUAUGCAGUACUCGUUAUUGAAAUGAGGUCACUAUGCUUAAGGCACAGUGAAUCCUAGAAAAUAGUGGUUUUGUUUCUCAUUAGGCAAUACAUUCCUCCUUGCUCCAGAAUGCAACAUACAUGUAUCCUUUUCUGUACUAUUUUUUAUUAAGAAUUCAUACUUAAUUCCACUGACUGCCACUCAAUUUUAAUGUACAGUAGGGAAUUCCUGUACUAUGUAUUAUGAAUCCAUUCCUUUGAAUUUCAUUUAUAAUACUUCAUGACUGACACCUGGCUUUCCACCAAGACUCAAUUUUCAUAGCAAGCCUCAUCAUCAUAAGCCCCCAAAUUAACAGGAUGAGGAGGAAGAAUUGGCAGGCUAAAGAAGAUGAUUAUAUCAAUUAAUGCAGAAAAAGCAUUUGAUAAAAUCCAAUAUUCAUUUGUAAUUAAAAACUCUCAGCAAGUUAGGGAUAGGAAUUACUUCAACUUAAUGAAGAGUGUCUUUAAAAACCUUAUUUUCAUCAGUUAUAACAAAUGUACCACUCUGGUGGUGAAUGUUGCUAAGGAGGGAAGCUAUACAUGUGUGGGGAAAGGAGAUGUGUGAGCAAUUUCUGUACCUUCUACUCAAUCUUCUGUGAGACUAAAAUUGCUGUAA
Molecule: long non-coding RNA, 2917 nt
Filed under: Homo sapiens (human)
Lineage: Eukaryota; Metazoa; Chordata; Mammalia; Primates; Hominidae
Description: TRHDE antisense RNA 1
Source: RNAcentral